UAAGGAAUUUCAAGGUCUGAAAAAGAUAAGAAGACAGAAGAUUUGCACAGAAAUAUUUCACAGGCCUUGGUUCUGGCUUGGUGUGUGUGUGUGUGUGUGUGUGUGUG
Molecule: long non-coding RNA, 107 nt
Organism: Alosa sapidissima (American shad)
Lineage: Eukaryota; Metazoa; Chordata; Actinopteri; Clupeiformes; Clupeidae
Exons: 3
Source: RefSeq, a predicted model, not a curated record